UACGUAGGGGGCAAGCGUUAUCCGGAAUUACUGGGUGUAAAGGGAGCGUAGGCGGCAUGGUAAGCCAGAUGUGAAAGCCCGGGGCUUAACUCCGAGGAUUGCAUUUGGAACUAUCAAGCUAGAGUACAGGAGAGGAAAGCGGAAUUCCUAGUGUAGCGGUGAAAUGCAUAGAUAUCACGCAGAACUCCGAUUGCGAAGGCAGCUUACUAAACCAUAACUGACACUGAAGCACGAAAGCGUGGGGAUCAAACAGG
This 254-nucleotide ribosomal RNA is filed under the name Anaerotignum lactatifermentans. RNAcentral describes it as "partial 16S ribosomal RNA". It matches the Rfam family "Bacterial small subunit ribosomal RNA", at positions 524 to 776 of the family's 1533-position model. Lineage: Bacteria; Bacillati; Bacillota; Clostridia; Lachnospirales; Anaerotignaceae. The record is from RNAcentral.